This 172-nucleotide microRNA precursor is filed under the name Sorghum bicolor (sorghum). The record is from RNAcentral. Lineage: Eukaryota; Viridiplantae; Streptophyta; Magnoliopsida; Poales; Poaceae.
GAAGAAGAGGGGCCUUGCAUGGUGGCGAGAGCCUGCCUUUGGUAGCCAAGGAUGACUUGCCUACAUGGCAUUGCGAGUUCCGGUUGCAUGGCCAGUUCAGCUGAGUUUGUGGGCGGUCACCUUGGCUAGCCUGAGUGGCUCUUGCCUGUCAUGGAAGGCCUCUUCUUCUGUC